CCUACGGGUGGCAGCAGUAGGGAAUAUUGCUCAAUGGGGGAAACCCUGAAGCAGCAACGCCGCGUGGAGGAUGAAGGUUUUCGGAUUGUAAACUCCUUUUGUUAGAGAAGAUAAUGACGGUAUCUAACGAAUAAGCACCGGAUAACUCCGUGCCAGCAGCCGCGGUAAUACGGCGGGUGCAAGCGUUACUCGGAAUCACUGGGCGUAAAGAGCGCGUAGGCGGGAUAGCAAGUCAGCUGUGAAGUCCUAGGGUUUAACCAUAGAACUGCAUUUGAAACUGGUGUUCUAGAGUCUGGGAGAGGGAGGUGGAAUGCUUGGUGUAGGGGUAAAAUGCGUAGAGAUCAAGAGGAA
This 351-nucleotide ribosomal RNA is filed under the name uncultured bacterium. RNAcentral describes it as "partial 16S ribosomal RNA". It matches the Rfam family "Bacterial small subunit ribosomal RNA", at positions 338 to 706 of the family's 1533-position model. The record is from RNAcentral.